AUACGGAGGGGGUUAGCGUUAAUCGGAAUUACUGGGCGUAAAGCGCGCGUAGGCGGCUUGGUCAGUCGGAUGUGAAAGCCCCGGGCUCAACCUGGGAAUGGCAUUCGAUACUGCCAGGCUAGAGUAUGGGAGAGGGAAGUGGAAUUUCCGGUGUAGCGGUGAAAUGCGUAGAUAUCGGAAGGAACACCAGUGGCGAAGGCGACUUCCUGGCCCAAUACUGACGCUGAGGUGCGAAAGCGUGGGGAGCGAACAGGAUUAGAAACCCUAGUAGUCC
This 274-nucleotide ribosomal RNA is filed under the name uncultured bacterium. Its description in RNAcentral is "partial 16S ribosomal RNA". It matches the Rfam family "Bacterial small subunit ribosomal RNA", at positions 523 to 796 of the family's 1533-position model. The record is from RNAcentral.